AUACGUAGGUGGCAAGCGUUGUCCGGAAUUAUUGGGCGUAAAGCGCGCGCAGGCGGUCUUUUAAGUCUGAUGUGAAAGCCCACGGCUCAACCGUGGAAGGUCAUUGGAAACUGAGAGACUUGAGUACAGAAGAGGAAAGCGGAAUUCCACGUGUAGCGGUGAAAUGCGUAGAGAUGUGGAGGAACACCGGUGGCGAAGGCGGCUUUCUGGUCUGUAACUGACGCUGAGGCGCGAAAGCGUGGGGAGCAAACAGGAUUAGAUACCCUGGUAGUCCACGCCGUAAACGAUGAGUGCUAAGUGUUAGGGGGUUUCCGCCCCUUAGUGCUGCAGCUAACGCAUUAAGCACUCCGCCUGGGGAGUACGGCCGCAAGGCUGAA
This 377-nucleotide ribosomal RNA is filed under the name uncultured bacterium. RNAcentral's name for it is "bacterial SSU rRNA". It matches the Rfam family "Bacterial small subunit ribosomal RNA", at positions 523 to 898 of the family's 1533-position model. The record is from RNAcentral.